This 427-nucleotide ribosomal RNA is filed under the name uncultured beta proteobacterium. Its description in RNAcentral is "bacterial SSU rRNA". It matches the Rfam family "Bacterial small subunit ribosomal RNA", at positions 355 to 774 of the family's 1533-position model. Lineage: Bacteria; Pseudomonadati; Pseudomonadota; Betaproteobacteria. The record is from RNAcentral.
UGGGGAAUUUUGGACAAUGGGCGAAAGCCUGAUCCAGCCAUGCCGCGUGAGUGAAGAAGGCCUUCGGGUUGUAAAGCUCUUUUAGUCGGAAAGAAAGAGUUGCAAUGAAUAAUUGUGAUUUAUGACGGUACCGACAGAAAAAGCACCGGCUAACUACGUGCCAGCAGCCGCGGUAAUACGUAGGGUGCGAGCGUUAAUCGGAAUUCCUGGGCGUAAAGGGUGCGCAGGCGGUCUUGCAAGUCAGAGGUGAAAGCCCCGGGCUUAACCGGGGAAUUGCGUUUGAAACUACAAGACUAGAGUGCAGCAGAGGGGAGUGGAAUUCCAUGUGUAGCAGUGAAAUGCGUAGAGAUGUGGAAGAACACCGAUGGCGAAGGCAGCUCCCUGGGUUGACACUGACGCUCAUGCACGAAAGCGUGGGGAGCGAACA